Non-coding RNA from Cinara cedri, 373 nucleotides. The record is from the annotation of a GenBank genome assembly. NCBI's taxonomy places the organism in Eukaryota, Metazoa, Arthropoda, Insecta, Hemiptera, Aphididae.
AAAAAGAAUUGUUCAGACGAUGACCGCAUUCAAAUCACAGACCCCCUCCCCAUUGUCACGUGUCUAUAAUUUUAGCACCCCCAAAGCCGGUGGUCUAGUUGCAAGUAUACGGCUUCGGGUAUUGUCAUUCACGGUUUUCCGCGAUUUACACCGCGGUUAACGUUUUCGCCGCGUCCCGACCUCCCGAUUCCCGGCCAAUUGCCGCCGACCGAACGACUGCCGCACCGUUUCGCCGUCUUCGCCAAAGUGUUCCGUCGAUUUUGUAACGUUCCGCGCGUUCGGCUUCCGGACGGUUCGCGGUUUCGUUAAUAAUUUAUCCGCGCGCCCGGGCGAAUAUUUGCUCGGCGGUUCGCGAUGAAAUUCGUAUUCUCUC